GUAAACUUGCCAUCAGCUUCUUUCUAAUGAAAAUGUUCAUAUUUCAUUUGAGUCUUUUACUCCUGUUAGACUGGCAUGCCAACUUGCCAAGUCCUAUCUUUUUUAGUUUCUGCAAAAGAAUACAAUUGUUUAUUGAUCCCAAUAAUAUCUACUACUCAGUGUAUACCAUUUGGAAUUUACUUUAUUUAAGCGACGGAAAUCAUCUUAAAUCUAUAUAUAUAUCCG
RNAcentral lists this unclassified non-coding RNA (225 nucleotides) under Hevea brasiliensis (rubber tree). The record is from RNAcentral. Lineage: Eukaryota; Viridiplantae; Streptophyta; Magnoliopsida; Malpighiales; Euphorbiaceae.